AAAAAACGAAAAAAAGAGAAAAACGAAAAAAAAUAAAAAUAAAUAAAUAAAUAAAUAAAUAAAAUAUAACAAAAAAUUUUUUUUUGGACUUGGGCCUCUCUCAUUUGAGCCCACAGGUCCACAAAAACCAGGUUAUAAAUUCAGAGUUUCAGUGAAACAAAAGAUGUCAUUCCUAUUACCCUAGCAGGAAAAAGAAAGUGAGAGAAGAGCUAACAGAGUUCAGAGCAACCUCCGGAGGCUGAAGGGAACUCAUCGGCAAAGAACCAA
Molecule: long non-coding RNA, 267 nt
Filed under: Lathyrus oleraceus (garden pea)
Lineage: Eukaryota; Viridiplantae; Streptophyta; Magnoliopsida; Fabales; Fabaceae
Description: Pisum sativum (pea) long non-coding RNA (PSAT_LNC022992)
Source: RNAcentral